AAGCUUGGGAGAAUCCUCUAGAGUCUUGGCAGCGGGUGGACAGACAUGCUUUAUAAUCCAGCUGCAUCCUCGUACCUGGUGGUGUUUGAAGAGCUGGGAAUGGGGAUCCACCAACGUAAGACACAGGCUCGUCACUCAGCCAGGAAAGAAAUCGUGGAACAGCAUAGAAGUUCCCCCAACUGGCAGAGGCAAAGCACCAGAGGCACUUCCCUCUGGACAGAUCCUGAGGAGAUACUGGAGAAAGAGGACAAAAUGCAGAUAUGAGAUUGUGAUUGGAGGAGCCCAAUAGAGAAGAGAAGAUAGCAGCAGAAGCAGAAUGAUUAGAGGUGUGGCUGAAGCUGUAACCUGAAUAUGGAUACAAAUGAAGAGACUGUCCAUUAGCUAUCCUGAUAUUCGGAGAUAGUCAAGUACCCUUGUGUUCUGAGAUAAUUCAUCACCCUGAUGUUCCAAGGCCGUCCAGCACCCAGAUGUUCAUUAAUCCAUCACCCUGAUGUUCCAAGGUUGUCCAGCACCCAGAUGUUCAUGCUAGAUGUUCAUGCUACUCAACCACAUGUGUGACAUCUUGAUCUUUCCUCAAGCAAGGAAGUCAUCAAGAGAUUUAAUAUCCUUUGUGGGUUCAAUAACAGUGAUCAAGUUGUCUUAAAUUUUAAAUCUGCAUAGUGCUUUAUUGAGGGUUUUUUUGUUUGUUUUAAGUAGAAUUCAGUGUUAAGUACACUUAAAAAUUAUCUAUAAUAAUGGUAACUGCAGUUAAAGGACUAUCUAUGCAUGCUUAUCUGGAACCAUGUAUAGACAUCAAAAGCUUUAUUUGUCAGAGGGAUCUCCAAGACAUAUUUGUAUUCAUUUGUAAAGUGUUGUGGUGUGCAUACUGUCUUCAGUAAUCUUAUAGGUGUGUGUGGCAUGGGAGAUGAUUGUGGUAAGAUUUACCUCAUGCAAGAAAAAACUAAAAAUAAACUGUAAUGUCUCCAGUCAGCUGACAGUUAGUCCACCAGGUUCAAAGUCAUUGUAUGUGUGGCAAGAUUUAUUUCACACAAGAAAAGAAAGAAUAAAUGGCAGGGCCUCCAGUCAGUUGACAGUUAGUGCAUCAAGUUCAUCAAAGCCAUUUUGUAAAGAUGGUUAUCAGAAAUAUAUGCAAGAUGCUAUGUUCUCUCCGAUAUAUUAAGGAGUUUGGAGCAGAUUGAAUUGUUUAUGGGUUAUGGAAUAAAAGGAAGAAGGAUAGAAUGCCAAGGGAGGAAUGAUGAUUUGAUGUGAUGCACCCAGUGCACAAAAGGUAAUUCUUAGAUGAAACUGCUAACACUUGUGGCAUUUUGUUUACCAUAUGGAAUAUGGAUAGAUAUAAAUAUGCCAUAGUGACAGCUGCAUGAGGGUGGAGUUGCACAAAUUAAGUUCAUUCAUUAGUAUCAUCAUCAUCAAGCACACACUGCCUGAUGCUCAACAAAACACUGCAAAAUUGCUGACAGAUCAGUACAUUAAUGUAUGCGGGCAUUAAUUCUUGAGAAGUUAUCUUGAUGUCUUGUUUGUUGUAAUUGCAGCUAUUUCUCUAAGGAAAGAGCUCACAACUGAGACCAUUUAUGCACCACACACUGGAACAGCAAGGUCACAACCCCUUGGGUUAAAUCCCAUACCUACUUGCUGCUAGGUGAACAGGGUUACACAUUAAGAGGCUUGACCCUUUUUUUUUUUUUUUUUGCCUCGCCACUCCCAGGAAUCAUAUCCAGUCCUUGGUUGUGAACCUAGUGUGCUAACCACUACACUAUACAGUGUGCAGCAGUGGUGGAGCAAGUCUGCUGUGGGUUUAGUCAGGCGUGCUCUACGUCUGACCUUUGUACACUGGAGCUGUAGAUCCUUUCUGUAGGCAUGAAUACAGAGGUUUGAGGGAAUGCUUACAAGUUUGCAUAAUUCAAGGUUUAAUAUGUACAGCAGAGCUGCAGCACAGCAAAUCCACCCCAUUCCCAUGAAUCUUAACAUUUCCUUUAUGGCAAUGAGAAGUAAUUUAUUUCCCCAUUUAUCAUCCUUGUUCCAAGGACACUCCCAUUUAUCUGAUGAAAUAGUUACUAACAAAAUUACUAACAAAAUUAAUGUUUAUUUGCUUGUGAUGUAACAUAACCUAGUUUUGUACUCAUUUGUAUCUAUAGAUAGCAAAACUUUUAACUGGAAACCAGGUAAUGUGCAAGGUGAGACCAGAACAGAAGUGGAAUACUGAAUUGAGAUUGCAAGCCAGAUUGUACCAAUGCAAAGUGUUUGAAAAGGAUAAAAUAAUAUCACCUAAGAAAGUAGCUGAAACAUUAUACCAUGUUGUAAUCUUCUAGACUAGUAGUAUAGAUGUAGAAAAAAAUCACUAACAAUUGCUAGAAGACUUUUAUAUUCUAGGACUUAAAUCUGCUUGUGUCCCACCAGAUAGGAGAAGAGAUACUAAUAAUACAAUGGUGUAAAUCCUCCCCAAACACUGUUUAGUGUACAUCUGGUAGGAGGGAAUAUGGAGCAGGAGAAUUCACUAGUUAUCCUUGAGUCAUGCAGUGGGAGGGUUUGUAAGUUUUUGGCUCUCUCAUCCUGCCCCUUCUCUCCCUCUGCACCCAGUUGCCUUCUUGUUUUGCCACUGGCCUAGUGACAAGGCAAGAAAAGGAAAAUAUGGGUUUUCAUCCAUAAUGUAAGCCUGUACAAAGCAGAGAAACCUAUACAAGAUCUAGCUAGAAUUGAUGUGAGUGAAAGAAUUACAGUGAUGGACCAAACAAUUUUGUGAUUGUGGAAAUGUGGCAACAUCACAACACUAAAAUCUAGAAAGCCUUUGUUUCAAAAGUGGCAAGUAGGCAUUCAUUUGCCUCCUUGUAAAUUCAAAAGGUUUGGGUUCCAGGAUGACUUUGGUGCUGUGGUGUUGCUGUCUUCACAAACAAUCACCCCAACAAUUUGGGUAUAUCCUUUGUAGGUUUCUCUGCUUCGUACAGGUCUAUUAUUAAAAAAAAAUUAUACUUUGCGCAUGCAUACAUUUUGAAAGUUAAAUCAUCUUUCAAUAGAACCUCAAACUCUCAUCAGCUUUUAUACUAAGAAAAUAUAAUCUAGGUGUCCAAAUUCCUUUCAUGCCUUCCAAUAUGAACCCACUGCAUGUGAGGGGUAGAGGGUAGCAGGAAGCUUAGUGGGUCAGAAUACGUUAUCUAUUGAGUGACUAUACUAAAAGUGAGUGUCACUCUUCUUGAUUCUGACUUGCUAGGCAUCCUGCUUCCCUCUACUAUCCCAGCAAAUAACAUGCAGUGUGUCUGUACGCUUAGUGAUCUAUUAUUCUACCCUAAUCAGUGCAGUGUCAAACCUGUGCUGCUUCCCAAGAGGGUCCUGCCAAAGAGAUCCAGUCAUUGCCUUUAUAUUCACAGCAUGUUUAUGAUAUGAACACAUUUGCCUAUAACAUUUAUAUGAUGAGAACCAAGCCUCUCUGGCAGGACACCAACAGGAAACAAGUCCAACAAAACAAUCUGGAAGAUGUUCACUGGAAAAGCAGAUAAGCAGCUUUUACUUAGUUCUAAGUAAUAUGAAAGUCUCGUCCUUGUUCUUUCCUCUUCUUUACACAAGUAUUCAUAACUUGUUAAUUGUUUACCUGGAGUAUAUUCAUCUCAGCAAUCUGUAAAAAAAGACAAAUGAAUACUACUAGCAUCUAAAAAAAUUUUCAAUUAAAAUUUCUUCAAUAUUCAUAAACCCUCUUCAGUGUGUUCAAUCAUAUGACAACUUUCUUGUAUACACAUUGUGAAAACUAAUACUAUUCAUUGAAAUUGUAACAAUACAUACUUUUGAAAAAUAUUAAUAUAAUAAAUACUUUGAAAAAUAUUAAUAUAUUAAUAAAUGAAAAAUAAUAUAUUAAUUACUGUUUCAAAGAAUGAAUUCAAUGGCUGUUUUGAAUUUAUAGGAGAAAAGUUAUAAAAACAAUACGCUGUUGUUAGUAAAGUAAUGAAAAGAUAGUACAGUAUCGUUACAAAAUAUUUUUAAAACAAGACAAACAAAAUAGGUGAUGGGUAAGAAUAUGUAAACCAAAAAUCAGUUUGGAUGGAGACUGUCCACUGUUGUCGAGGCAGAACUUGGGUGACACUGGUAGUUGUCUUUGCAGCGUCCCCUCUCAGCUGGAGUGUCAGACCGAAAAUUUCGCUUCCCCUUUCUGUAAAGCAAGUAAAGAACAUUAAAAACCGUAUAAAACACACGCAGAGAGAGAGAGGG
This 4191-nucleotide long non-coding RNA is filed under the name Portunus trituberculatus (swimming crab). RNAcentral describes it as "uncharacterized LOC123498689". The record is from RNAcentral. Lineage: Eukaryota; Metazoa; Arthropoda; Malacostraca; Decapoda; Portunidae.